GGCGAAAGCCUGAUGCAGCGACGCCGCGUGAGGGAUGACGGCCUUCGGGUUGUAAACCUCUUUCAGCAGGGAAGAAGCGAAAGUGACGGUACCUGCAGAAGAAGCGCCGGCUAACUACGUGCCAGCAGCCGCGGUAAUACGUAGGGCGCAAGCGUUGUCCGGAAUUAUUGGGCGUAAAGAGCUCGUAGGCGGCUUGUCGCGUCGGUUGUGAAAGCCCGGGGCUUAACCCCGGGUCUGCAGUCGAUACGGGCAGGCUAGAGUUCGGUAGGGGAGAUCGGAAUUCCUGGUGUAGCGGUGAAAUGCGCAGAUAUCAGGAGGAACACCGGUGGCGAAGGCGGAUCUCUGGGCCGAUACUGACGCUGAGGAGCGAAAGCGUGGGGAGCGAACAGGAUUAGAUACCCUGGUAGUCCACGCCGUAAACGGUGGGCACUAGGUGUGGGCAACAUUCCACGUUGUCCGUGCCGCAGCUAACGCAUUAAGUGCCCCGCCUGGGGAGUACGGCCGCAAGGCUAAAACUCAAAGGAAUUG
This 528-nucleotide ribosomal RNA is filed under the name Streptomyces chilikensis. Its description in RNAcentral is "bacterial SSU rRNA". It matches the Rfam family "Bacterial small subunit ribosomal RNA", at positions 374 to 912 of the family's 1533-position model. Lineage: Bacteria; Bacillati; Actinomycetota; Actinomycetes; Kitasatosporales; Streptomycetaceae. The record is from RNAcentral.